RNAcentral lists this ribosomal RNA (511 nucleotides) under uncultured bacterium. RNAcentral's name for it is "partial 16S ribosomal RNA". It matches the Rfam family "Bacterial small subunit ribosomal RNA", at positions 28 to 506 of the family's 1533-position model. The record is from RNAcentral.
GAUGAACGCUGGCGGCGUGCCUAAUACAUGCAAGUCGAACGAAACUUCUUUAUCACCGAGUGCUUGCACUCACCGAUAAAGAGUUGAGUGGCGAACGGGUGAGUAACACGUGGGCAACCUGCCCAAAAGAGGGGGAUAACACUUGGAAACAGGUGCUAAUACCGCAUAACCAUAGUUACCGCAUGGUAACUAUGUAAAAGGUGGCUAUACUACCGCUUUUGGAUGGGCCCGCGGCGCAUUAGCUAGUUGGUAGGGUAAAGGCUUACCAAGGCAAUGAUGCGUAGCCGAAUUGAGAGGUUGAUCGGCCACAUUGGGACUGAGACACGGCCCAAACUCCUACGGGAGGCAGCAGUAGGGAAUCUUCCACAAGGGGCGAAAGCCUGAUGGAGCAACGCCGCGUGGGUGAAGAAGGUCUUCGGAUCGUAAAACCCUGUUGUUAGAGAAGAAAGUGCGUGAGAGUAACUGUUCACGUUUCGACGGUAUCUAACCAGAAAGCCACGGCUAACUACGU